Molecule: ribosomal RNA, 321 nt
Filed under: Triticum aestivum (bread wheat)
Lineage: Eukaryota; Viridiplantae; Streptophyta; Magnoliopsida; Poales; Poaceae
Description: partial small subunit ribosomal RNA
Source: RNAcentral
AUGUGCCAACUACAAAAAAUAGCAACUCAAAUCACUGACAAGAUGAGCAAACUACAGAAUUUUGUACAAACUACAAAGUUUCUUCCUUUGGCACAUUUAUCCUUGGUCAUCACUGGCAACAUCAGCAGCUCAAAUCAUUGGCAAGAUGUACCCCUUGGUCAUCACUGUUGGGGUUGUCUUCUUUGCAGACUCAGGUCAGUCCAGCCGCAUGUGCCAAGAUGCAGCCUACAGGUGUGGACGGCGGGCGAGCUGGACGGUGGUCAUGGACGGAGCGCCGGCAUACAGAGACGUAACGAGAAGACGAGCUGCGCCAAAAGAUGA